GUGAAGCUGAAUGGCAUGAAGGAUCAGAUGCUGGAGAUUUGUCCUGCAUUCCUCAUGUCUGCUGCUUCAGUCCUGUUGAAAUGCUGUGAAUGUGCAGUGCAGUGUGUUGUGUGUGUGUUUGUGAAUGUGUUGUGUUUGUCUCCUGCAGCUGGUCCCACAGUGAAGCCCUCAGUGUCUCUGCUGCCGCCCUCUUCUCUGCAGAUCUCUGGAGACUCAGCCGCACUGCUCUGCCUGCUCAGCUCUUACUCUCCACAGGGGGCGCUGGUGAGCUGGACACUGGACGGGUCAGAGGUCACCGAGGGGGUUCUGACCAGCGCAGAGAGCCAGCAGGACGGCCGCUACAGCCGCAGUAGCGUCCUGACCCUCAGCAAAGCACGCUGGGAAGAGGGAGAGCUGUACGUCUGCAGAGUAACACAUGAUGGAGCUCCUCAUGAGGUCUCGUUCCACAAGAGCUCUGAGUGCUGAUGUUUCUCUCCUGAAGAUGAGCCGUAUCUGAGUGUCCUGUGUCAGGCAGGAUUCACAUGAGUCUAGUGCUGCAGCUGUAGUGCUUUACAACUCCAUACUGAGAGAGUGUGUGUGAGUGUGUG
Non-coding RNA from Rhinichthys klamathensis goyatoka, 587 nucleotides. The record is from the annotation of a RefSeq genome assembly. Lineage: Eukaryota; Metazoa; Chordata; Actinopteri; Cypriniformes; Leuciscidae.